GUUGCAUCUAUUGCACCUGCUUUCAACAUGAGCUAUUUAGUUGCUUAAGUCUAGUUUUCGUUAACUAGCGUCUUUGGGACUUGUUCCUAUCCGGGUUUCAAAAGACGGUCAUUGAUAGGAUAUAGUUGGGAGGGUUCGCCAGUUCCUGACCAAUUGAAACUAUGAAUUCUGGUCGAGCAUUCUUUUUUGCUAGCUUUUAAGGAAUGUUUAGUAAACAAAGAUAGCUAAACUUGUAGUAAGGUGCUGCGCUUAGCUUACUGGACGUGGGUUCGAUUCCCACCGUCUCCACCA
RNAcentral lists this transfer-messenger RNA (291 nucleotides) under Bdellovibrionales bacterium. Its description in RNAcentral is "partial transfer-messenger RNA". It matches the Rfam family "transfer-messenger RNA", at positions 82 to 374 of the family's 374-position model. From Rfam's summary of the family: Bacterial tmRNA, also known as 10Sa RNA or SsrA, is named for its dual tRNA and mRNA-like properties. Its role is to liberate the mRNA from a stalled ribosome. The record is from RNAcentral. Lineage: Bacteria; Pseudomonadati; Bdellovibrionota; Bdellovibrionia; Bdellovibrionales.